RNAcentral lists this ribosomal RNA (515 nucleotides) under Salmonella enterica. Its description in RNAcentral is "partial 23S ribosomal RNA". It matches the Rfam family "Bacterial large subunit ribosomal RNA", at positions 1252 to 1772 of the family's 2925-position model. The record is from RNAcentral. Lineage: Bacteria; Pseudomonadati; Pseudomonadota; Gammaproteobacteria; Enterobacterales; Enterobacteriaceae.
GAAGGUGGCCUGUGAGGGCUGCUGGAGGUAUCAGAAGUGCGAAUGCUGACAUAAGUAACGAUAAUGCGGGUGAAAAACCCGCACGCCGGAAGACCAAGGGUUCCUGUCCAACGUUAAUCGGGGCAGGGUGAGUCGACCCCUAAGGCGAGGCCGAAAGGCGUAGUCGAUGGGAAACAGGUUAAUAUUCCUGUACUUGGUGUUACUGCGAAGGGGGGACGGAGAAGGCUAUGUUGGCCGGGCGACGGUUGUCCCGGUUUAAGCGUGUAGGCUGACUUUCCAGGCAAAUCCGGAGAGUCAAGGCUGAGGCGUGACGACGAGGCACCACGGUGCUGAAGCAACAAAUGCCCUGCUUCCAGGAAAAGCCUCUAAGCAUCAGGUAACAUCAAAUCGUACCCCAAACCGACACAGGUGGUCAGGUAGAGAAUACCAAGGCGCUUGAGAGAACUCGGGUGAAGGAACUAGGCAAAAUGGUGCCGUAACUUCGGGAGAAGGCACGCUGACACGUAGGUGAAGUG